CCAGGCACGUGGGCUUGGACUGUGCACUGAGGUCUCUGCAGGAAAAGUCUGGAGCCUUGUCCAGGCGUGCCUACCUUGAUGAGAUAGGAAAUGAAAGUGCCCACUACACCUAAGCCCUGAAGACCACGAUCCAUGCUGCUGGACUGACCCCUGCCCUCUCGGUGUGAACUCCCCUGCUAGAAAGGAUGACUGAUGGGCUUCCAAGGUGUAAUUAAGAAGAUGGGAGUUCACCUGGAACUUUAUUUCCUCUGGGCUGACAAAGGGGAUGCCGAGGAGGCUUUGCAGCUGAUGGAGCUAUUUCAGGCCUCUGCAUUCUGACCUCCACUGCCAGCCCGAGCCCCUCACCUCCUCUUGAAGUGUGUUUAUUGUGCAGCCAAGAAAACAGGAGCAUGGGGAGAGGAGCCACAACACAGCCAGUGCUGAGAGGACUGACAUUACAGGGUAGCUCUGGCUUGUUUAGGAACCAAUUCAAAGGUUAAUUUAUGGAGGACUCCUUGACACACUCGCUUGCACGCAUAAGUUGCAUCAUGUUUAAAACAACAAUAACAACUGUGCUACAACAGCUUCUUAAAAUCCUCCAAUUCAGCCCUCCUCCCCCAUUGCAUAGAGAAGAGAAAUGAAUGAACCCCAAAGGUGCAGGCUUUCUAAACUCUGUGGAGUGAUUUUCCUACUGCUCUACUGAUGAAUCACCAUCUCUCUC
Long non-coding RNA from Bos taurus (domestic cattle), 700 nucleotides. Lineage: Eukaryota; Metazoa; Chordata; Mammalia; Artiodactyla; Bovidae. The record is from Ensembl.